AGGACGAACGCUGGCGGCGCGCCUAACACAUGCAAGUCGAGCGAGAACCGGGGCUUCGGUCCCGGGGACAGCGGCGAACGGGUGCGUAACACGUGAGCAACCUGCCCCGAAGACCGGGACAACCCGAGGAAACUCGGACUAAAUACCGGAUGUCCUCACCGGAUCGCAUGGUCUGGUGAGGAAAUGGAUUCCGCUUCGGGAUGGGCUCGCGGUCUAUCAGCUUGUUGGUGGGGUAACGGCCUACCAAGGCGACGACGGAUAGCUGGUCUGAGAGGACGAUCAGCCACACUGGGACUGAGACACGGCCCAGACUCCUACGGGAGGCAGCAGUGGGGAAUCUUGCGCAAUGGGGGAAACCCUGACGCAGCGACGCCGCGUGCGGGAUGAAGGCCUUCGGGUGUAAACCGCUUUCAGCAGGGACGAAAUUGACGGUACCUGCAGAAGAAGGCCCGGCAACUACGUGCCAGCAGCCGC
Molecule: ribosomal RNA, 474 nt
Filed under: uncultured bacterium
Lineage: Bacteria
Description: SSU rRNA
Rfam family: Bacterial small subunit ribosomal RNA
Source: RNAcentral